Molecule: ribosomal RNA, 226 nt
Filed under: Nostoc sp. HG1
Lineage: Bacteria; Bacillati; Cyanobacteriota; Cyanophyceae; Nostocales; Nostocaceae
Description: partial 23S ribosomal RNA
Rfam family: Bacterial large subunit ribosomal RNA
Source: RNAcentral
UCUCAAGCGUGAGGUAAGGGCAUUUCGUGGAUGCCUUGGCAUGCACAGGCGAUGAAGGACGUGGCACGCUGCGAUAAGCGCUGGUGAGGUGUGAGCAACCUUUGACCCAGCGAUUUCCGAAUGGGGAAACCCACCCUUACCAUUUAAUCUCGAGGCUGAUUUCGGUCAGCGGCGGGGUUAAGUGGAACGAGGGUAUUACCGAGGUGAAUACAUAGCUUUGGUAAAG